AUACCGCGUGUGUGAAGAAGGCCUUCGGGUUGUAAAGCACUUUAAGCAGGGAGAAAAAGUUAUAGGUUAAUACCCUAUGACCUUGAUGUUACCUGCAGAAUAAGCACCGGCUAAUUCCGUGCCAGCAGCCGCGGUAAUACGGAAGGUGCAAGCGUUAAUCGGAAUUACUGGGCGUAAAGCGCGCGUAGGUGGUUUGUUAAGUUGGAUGUGAAAGCCCUGGGCUCAACCUAGGAACUGCAUCCAAAACUAACUCACUAGAGUACGAUAGAGGGAGGUAGAAUUCAUAGUGUAGCGGUGGAAUGCGUAGAUAUUAUGAAGAAUACCAGUGGCGAAGGCGGCCUCCUGGAUCUGUACUGACACUGAGGUGCGAAAGCGUGGGUAGCGAACAGGAUUAGAUACCCUGGUAGUCCACGCCGUAAACGAUGACAACUAGCUGUUGGGAGACUAUGUCUUUCAGUGGCGCAGCUAACGCUUUAAGUUGUCCGCCUGGGGAGUACGGCCGCAAGGCUAAAACUCAAAUGAAUUGACGGGGACCCGCACAAGCGGUGGAGCAUGUGGUUUAAUUCGAUGCAACGCGAAAAACCUUACCUACUCUUGACAUACUUGGAGGCUCUUGUAAUGAGAGCGUGCCUUUUGGAACCAAGAUACAGGUGCUGCAUGGCUGUCGUCAGCUCGUGUCGUGAGAUGUUCCGUUAAGUCGGAUAACGAGCGCAACCCUUACCCUUAUUUGCCAGCGAUUCGGUCGGGAACUAUAAGGGGACUGCCGGUGAUAAACCGGAGGAAGGUGAGGACGACGUCAAGUCAUCAUGGCCCUUACGAGUAGGGCUACACACGUGCUACAAUGGAGAAUACAGACGGACGCUAAGCCGCGAGGUGGUGCUAAUCCUAGAAAGUUCUUCGUAGUCCGGAUUGGAGUCUGCAACUCGACUCCAUGAAGUCGGAAUCGCUAGU
RNAcentral lists this ribosomal RNA (951 nucleotides) under uncultured SAR86 cluster bacterium. RNAcentral describes it as "bacterial SSU rRNA". It matches the Rfam family "Bacterial small subunit ribosomal RNA", at positions 394 to 1339 of the family's 1533-position model. The record is from RNAcentral. Lineage: Bacteria; Pseudomonadati; Pseudomonadota; Gammaproteobacteria.